AGUAACGUUCUGAAAAGAACGCUAAUACCGCAUAACAUCAAUUUAUCGCAUGAUAGGUUGAUCAAAGGAGCAAUCCGCUGGAAGAUGGACUCGCGUCCGAUUAGCCAGUUGGCGGGGUAACGGCCCACCAAAGCGACGAUCGGUAGCCGGACUGAGAGGUUGAACGGCCACAUUGGGACUGAGACACGGCCCAGACUCCUACGGGAGGCAGCAUG
Molecule: ribosomal RNA, 215 nt
Filed under: uncultured bacterium
Lineage: Bacteria
Description: partial 16S ribosomal RNA
Rfam family: Bacterial small subunit ribosomal RNA
Source: RNAcentral